This 24-nucleotide non-coding RNA is filed under the name Cricetulus griseus (Chinese hamster). The record is from RNAcentral. Lineage: Eukaryota; Metazoa; Chordata; Mammalia; Rodentia; Cricetidae.
UUGCAGCACAGGGGAACAGAGAAC